AGAUUGAACGCUGGCGGCAUGCCUAACACAUGCAAGUCGAACGGGAGUAGCAGUACUCUAGUGGCGGACGGGUGAGGAAUACGUAGGAAUUUGCCCUUAAGUGGGGGAUAACCCGGGGAAACCCGGAUUAAUACCGCAUGACCUCGAAAGAGCAAAGUGGGGGAUCGCAAGACCUCACGCUUUUGGAGAAGCCUACGUCGGAUUAGCUAGUUGGUGAGGUAUGGCUCACCAAGGCGACG
Molecule: ribosomal RNA, 239 nt
Filed under: uncultured soil bacterium
Lineage: Bacteria
Description: partial 16S ribosomal RNA
Rfam family: Bacterial small subunit ribosomal RNA
Source: RNAcentral